RNAcentral lists this ribosomal RNA (459 nucleotides) under uncultured bacterium. Its description in RNAcentral is "partial 16S ribosomal RNA". It matches the Rfam family "Bacterial small subunit ribosomal RNA", at positions 338 to 795 of the family's 1533-position model. The record is from RNAcentral.
CCUACGGGAGGCAGCAGUGAGGAAUAUUGGUCAAUGGCCGGAAGGCUGAACCAGCCAAGCCGCGUGAAUGACGAAGUUGCCCAGCAUUGUAAACUUCUUUUGUCAAGGGACAAAAUCAGGCUCGAGAGCCUGACCGAGGCUACUUGAAGAACAAGCAUCGGCUAACUCCGUCCCAGCAGCCGCGUUAAUACGGGGGAUGCGAGCGUUAUCCGGAUUUAUUGGGUUUAAAGGGUGUGUAGGCGGGCUGUUAAGUCAGCGGUAACAGCCCGGGGCUCAACCCCGGCGAGCCGUUGAAACUGGCUGUCUUGAGAUGUAGAGAGGUAGGCGGAAUGCGCGGUGUAGCGGUGAAAUGCGUAGAUAUUGCGCAGAACUCCGAUUGCGAAGGCAGCAUACCGGCGGCGAUCUGACGCUGAGGCACGAAAGCGGGGGUAUCGAACAGGAUUAGAUACCCUAGUAGUC